This 465-nucleotide ribosomal RNA is filed under the name uncultured bacterium. Its description in RNAcentral is "bacterial SSU rRNA". It matches the Rfam family "Bacterial small subunit ribosomal RNA", at positions 331 to 794 of the family's 1533-position model. The record is from RNAcentral.
CCAGACUCCUACGGGAGGCAGCAGUGAGGAAUAUUGGUCAAUGGCCGAGAGGCUGAACCAGCCAAGUCGCGUGAGGGAAGAAUGUCCUAAGGAUUGUAAACCUCUUUUGUCGGGGAGCAAAAAGGCUCUGCGGAGUCGUAUUGAGAGUACCCGAAGAAAAAGCAUCGGCUAACUCCGUGCCAGCAGCCGCGGUAAUACGGAGGAUGCGAGCGUUAUCCGGAUUUAUUGGGUUUAAAGGGUGCGUAGGCGGGCAUUUAAGCCGGCGGUCAAAUGUCGGGGCUCAACCCCGGCCUGCCGUUGAAACUGCAUCCCUUGAGUGCGCGAGAAGUAUGCGGAAUGCGUGGUGUAGCGGUGAAAUGCAUAGAUAUCGCGCAGAACUCCGAUUGCGAAGGCAGCAUGCCGGCUCCACACUGACGCUGAGGCACGAAAGCGUGGGUAUCGAACAGGAUUAGAUACCCUUGUACU